This is a long non-coding RNA of Astatotilapia calliptera (eastern happy), 1034 nucleotides long. The record is from Ensembl. NCBI's taxonomy places the organism in Eukaryota, Metazoa, Chordata, Actinopteri, Cichliformes, Cichlidae.
UAGAAGUCAAUUAAUACAUUAGCCAUACUUAAAAAAACAUCUGAAUUUCAUUUAGAACUGAGAUUCUAAGUUGUAAGGAGGAAUCUUAUGCACAGCCAGAAACAUGUUUCCCCACUUUCACAAUGCUGAGGUGCCAAAUCCACAACCCCCAACAAAUGGUUUAUUACACGCAGGUGUGAAGGGCAAGCUUUACUUACACAGCCUCACACACAGUAGAUUUUUAAAGUUUUUUUGGGUACAGUGGUUUAGCCACAGAUGCAACAUCCACUUUUGAUAAAGAUCACUCCACCUGUUUAUUUCUUAAGAAAUUAGGCAUCUUUAUUAAGCUCUUAUUUAUACAUGUCUACACAUUAAUAGACACCGUAUGCUCUGAGACGUUAUAGUCUUCUACUUCUGCUUCCAUCGGUUUGCAUUUUAAACUCCCAGCCUUUCAGGUUGUUAUGAACGGCUUAUAUUUCUAACAUUUUGUGAUAUAAAAGUGAACCAUGUUUUUUUUUUUUAAUUUUCUGUUUGAUGGAAGGACUUAAGACACGAGUUAUUUAAACAAUUCUAAAUGACAGUGUGAUGGCCAUAGUACUUUAUGUGGGCCAAAUGUGUUAAGGAUAAUGUUUAUCAAUGUAAAAUUGCAAAGAACCUUUGAAUAGAUUAUAACAUUUUGUAAACAGUUACCUCAGAAGCUGUACUGGUAGAUCUAUGUAUGUAAGGUAAAACUUUCCACAGUACUUCCACUUAAGUAGCUAAACACAUAAAGUCACCCUUACCAAUAAUCCACUGCUCCUUGAAAAAAAGUAGCACAAACAGACGACUGACUGAGCAAUGAUAAGUAGAGCUACCCGAGGCCGAGACUCAAGCAGAAGAAAAUUAAAAGUUGUUGUUUUUGUGGCUCGAAAAAUUAAAGAAAGUAUGUUUAAUAAUUCAACAAGACCCGCACCUUCAACACAUGUACAUUCAAAUUUCAUUAUCAGAGUCAGUUAAUGAGACGACAGGAUGGCAGUGUCAGCUCUGGUUUGUUAAACUGUGUGUGUGUGUGUGUG